This 340-nucleotide ribosomal RNA is filed under the name Paenibacillus dendritiformis. RNAcentral describes it as "bacterial SSU rRNA". It matches the Rfam family "Bacterial small subunit ribosomal RNA", at positions 59 to 386 of the family's 1533-position model. The record is from RNAcentral. Lineage: Bacteria; Bacillati; Bacillota; Bacilli; Caryophanales; Paenibacillaceae.
CAGUCGAGCGGAGUUGAUGGAGUGCUUGCCUCCUGAUGCUUAGCGGCGGACGGGUGAGUAAUACGUAGGUAACCUGCCCUUAAGACCGGGAUAACUCACGGAAACGUGGGCUAAUACCGGAUAGGCGAUUUCCUCGCAUGAGGGAAUCGGGAAAGGCGGAGCAAUCUGCCGCUUAUGGAUGGACCUACGGCGCAUUAGCUAGUUGGUGAGGUAACGGCUCUCCAAGGCGACGAUGCGUAACCGACCUGAGAGGGUGAUCGGCCACACUGGGACUGAGACACGGCCCAUACUCCUACGGGAGGCAGCAGUAGGGAAUCUUCCGCAAUGGACGCAUGUCUGA